Microcebus murinus (gray mouse lemur) is the source of this 107-nucleotide small nuclear RNA. Lineage: Eukaryota; Metazoa; Chordata; Mammalia; Primates; Cheirogaleidae. The record is from Ensembl.
GUGCUUUCUUCAGCAGCACUUAUACUGAAACCAGAGCAACAUAGAGAAAAUUAUCAUGGCCCCUGCACAAGGUUGACACAUAAACUUGUGGACCAUUCCAUAUUUUU